UUCUGUGGGGACGGAGCGGCCGGCCGCAACUUGCGGUUCGAGCUAGCGCUUUCCCUACAUCCUGCCGCGAACCGUGCUACCAUUAGUUUGGUGGCGCCGGGGAUCGGCUCGUUUACUUUGAGAAAAAUAGAGUGUUCAAAGCAGGCCACACGCCUUGAAUAAGUUAGCAUGGAAUAAUAAUAAAGGACUUCGGUUCUAUUUUGUUGGUGUUCGGGACUGAAGUAAUGAUUGAUAGGGACAGUUGGGGCGGUCAGUAUUCCAAAGCGAGAGGUGAAAUUCUUAGACCUUCGGAAGACUAACAGCUGCGAAAGCGUUCCGCAAGGAUGUUCCCUUUGAUCAAGAACGAAAGUUGGGGGAUCGAAGACGAUCAGAUACCGUCGUAGUCUCAACUAUAAACUAUACCAGCUAGGGAUCGGCCAACGUUAAAUUAUUCGACUUGGUCGGCACCUUAUGAGAAAUCAAAGCAUCUGGGUUCCGGGGGGAGUAUGGUCGCAAGGCUGAAACUUAAAGGAAUUGACGGAAGGGCACCACCAGCCGUGGAGCCUGUGGCUUAAUUUGACUCAACACGGGAAAACUUACCAGGUCCAGACAUAGUAAGGAUUGACAGAUUGAUAGCUCUUUCUUGAUUCUGUGGGUGGUGGUGCAUGGCCGUUCUUAGUUGGUGGAGUGAUUUGUCUGGUUAAUUCCGUUAACGAACGAGACCCCAGCCUGCUAAAUAGCGUGGUUGAGCUUUGCUCGGCGCAAGCUUCUUAGAGGGACUAUGAUGCGCGAUAGCACAUGGAAGUUUGGGGCAAUAACAGGUCUGUGAUGCCCUUAGAUGUUCUGGGCCGCACACGGGCUACACUGGCGCCUGCAACGAGCAUAUCAGCUGGCCCGAGAGGGUCUUGGCUAAUCUUUUGAACCGGCGCCGUGCUUGGGAUUGACCAUUGCAAUUGUUGGUCAUGCAACGAGGAAUGCCUUGUAAACGCGAGUCAUCAACUCGCAUUGAAUACGUCCCUGCCCUUUGUACACACCGCCCGUCGCUCUACGAUGAUGUCCGAUGAAAUUUUCGGA
RNAcentral lists this ribosomal RNA (1053 nucleotides) under uncultured eukaryote. RNAcentral describes it as "SSU rRNA". It matches the Rfam family "Eukaryotic small subunit ribosomal RNA", at positions 640 to 1714 of the family's 1831-position model. The record is from RNAcentral.